UAGCUUUAAGAUUUUAUUUAAAGUUUUACCUGCCCGGUGGAAUUUCUUAACGGCCGCAGUACUUUGACUGUGCUAAGGUAGCAUAAUAAAUUGGCUUUUAAUUAAAGUCGGGUAUGAAAGGGAUUUUGGAAAAUAACUGUCUCUAGUAUAUUUUAUUUUAAUUUAAUUAAUGAGUGAAAAUUCUCAUAUUUGUACAUUAGACGAGAAGACCCUAAGAGUUAUUAUUAAAAUGAAUUUAUUUCAUAUAUCAUUUUUGUUGGGGCAACAAAGACUGGAUAGAACCGUCAUAAAGUAACUUUAACAUAACCAAUAAUAUUUAAAAAGAAAUAAACUACCUUAGGGAUAACAGCAUAAUUAAUUUUUAGAUUGUGACCUCGAUGUUGGAUUAAGGACUUAGUUUACUAGCCGUAAACUAAGAUAGUUCUGUUCGAACUGUAGUACCUU
RNAcentral lists this ribosomal RNA (444 nucleotides) under Vertigo alpestris. RNAcentral's name for it is "partial 16S ribosomal RNA". It matches the Rfam family "Archaeal large subunit ribosomal RNA", at positions 1919 to 2666 of the family's 2987-position model. Lineage: Eukaryota; Metazoa; Mollusca; Gastropoda; Stylommatophora; Vertiginidae. The record is from RNAcentral.